This 884-nucleotide ribosomal RNA is filed under the name uncultured bacterium. RNAcentral describes it as "bacterial SSU rRNA". It matches the Rfam family "Bacterial small subunit ribosomal RNA", at positions 8 to 940 of the family's 1533-position model. The record is from RNAcentral.
AGAGUUUGAUCAUGGCUCAGAACGUACGCUGGCGGCACGCCUAACACAUGCAAGUCGAACGCAGUAGCAAUACUGAGUGGCAAACGGGUGAGUAUAAUGUGGGAAUCUGCCUUUUGGUUCGGAAUAACACGGGGAAACUUGUGCUAAUACCGGAUAAGCCCUUACGGGGAAAGUUUUAACGCCGAAAGAUGAGCCCGCACUUGAUUAGCUAGUUGGUAAGGUAAAAGCUUACCAAGGCAACGAUCAAUAGCUGUUCUUAGAGGAAGACCAGCCACAUUGGGACUGAGACACGGCCCAGACUCCUACGGGAGGCAGCAGUGGGGAAUCUUGCACAAUGGGGGAAACCCUGAUGCAGCGAUGCCGCGUGAGUGAAGAAGGCCUUUGGGUUGUAAAACUCUUUCGUCGGGGAAGAAAAUGACUGUACCCGAAUAAGAAGGUCCGGCUAACUUCGUGCCAGCAGCCGCGGUAAUACGAAGGGACCUAGCGUAGUUCGGAAUUACUGGGCUUAAAGAGCUCGUAGGUGGUUAAAAAAGUUGAUGGUGAAAUCCCAAGGCUCAACCUUGGAACUGCCAUCAAAACUUUUUAGCUAGAGUGUGAUAGAGGUAAGUGGAAUUUCUAGUGUAGAGGUGAAAUUCGUAGAUAUUAGAAAGAACACCAAAUGCGAAGGCAACUUACUGGGGUCACUACUGACACUGAGGAGCGAAAGCAUGGGUAGCAAAGAGGAUUAGAUACCCUCGUAGUCCAUGCCGUAAACGAUGUGUGCUAGACGUUGGAAAUAUAUUUUUCAGUGUCGCAGCGAAAGCAUUAAGCACACCGCCUGGGGAGUACGACCGCAAGGUUAAACUCAAAUGAAUUGACGGGGACCCGCACAAGCAGUGGAGCAU